UUUUUCAAAAACCAGUUCCUCCAUUAGAAGAGGCCCUCAAACAAAUUCAGGAAUCUAACUUAAAAUCAGAAGUAAUCCUUCCCUCUUCCCACAGAUCAACAAUAAACUGGAGCUCGACUGGUUGUUUCCCCAACCCCUUUGGAAGCUCUCCCUGUUUUGAAGCCUUCCUGUUUGUUCAGUCAUCCCCCUCAUCAACCAGUCCCCACUCUUUCUUAUAUCACUCCGUUGCCUGAACAUCCUGCUAGUUUAGAUACUUUUCAGUCAGACCAGCAAUCUGUUCCACAAAUCACAACAUUGUCAAAUCUGCCCCAGGCCUUUGUAGACCAUCCAUCUGCCUCAGUUCUCUCCUGUCCACCUCCCUGUCAUUCUCCAUCCUCUUCUUUGUCUCUGUCUCUUUCUACUUCCACAUCCUCUUCUUCACCCUCUAUACAGGCUUCUUCCUCUUCAUCCAUUCUUUCCUCCUCUUCACCUUCCUCUUCUACUUCUCCAUUUUUACCUCCUUCAUCUAUCCCUCUUUUUUCCGCUCCUUUGCAAUCAGCUCCCUCUCCGUGGUUGCCCCCAACAUAUUUAGAUUUUCCCCCUACAAUUCCUCCUGUAUCUUCUUCCUUUAUGAUUUCUUCUUCCUUUCCCCCCAUGCUUCACUCUCCCUCUCUUUCUACCUCCCCAUCUCCUUUUAUUCCUAUCCAUCCCUUCAAUCCUCCUCACUGGGGGAAGAAAGUAGAGAAGAGAAGAGAAGCAAGUGGAGUAGAGAAGAAAGAACUAGAGAAGAAAAAGUUGAGAGACGACAACUUUAAAGAGCUAUAAAUAAUGCCUUGCUUUCAUCAUUGUCAAAAAAUGAUCAGAAGCAUCAGAAACAUCUCUUAUCCAAAAUCAAUUGUGAUAAAGAAAUGAAGGAAAACAGCAGGGCAAACUUGACUGCUAACAAAGAUGUGUUCCAGCUUAAACUGGAGGAAACUCAGAAACUCCUAGAAGAUCAGCAUCUAAGCAGUUUGCAAAAUUUUUGUGAUGAAGUUAAUCAGAUAACAAAUUCUGAAACCCUCUCAAGCGUAGACAGUCUUGAGGCUGGGGAACAUGAAGAAAUAUAUUUAACACUUAAUAAGGAGCCUUCCACAUCAGUUCAGCAGAAUUCUAGUUUCCUCAAAUCAGCAAAUCUGCAAUCAACUGAUCUAAGCUGCUUUGAUGAAGAUAAACUGUCAUUCUCUAAAACUCAACAUAUAAAUAAUUGGCUUACAAAUUUAGAUGAUCCAAAUACUCAGAUUGUCACAUCUUGCUCAGAUAUUUUUAGUAAACCUAAUGCUCUACCUUCCUGUGAAUGUUUUAAUAGUAAAGAACAAACUCCAUCUGCUCUGAGUAGAGCUGUGGAAAGAGCCACAGAUACUGCUAAUAAUUCGGUAGCCUUUGUAUAUAGUCCACCUACAUUUGUUCAAGAUAAAAAAAGUGAAAAGACCUCUGAAACUAGUACUCUGAGGACAACUGACUCCUCUUCUGAAGCAUUCAAAAGGGAAAGACCAUUAGUUACUGACAGCCCAACGUUUAAAUUCAGCAAAGCCUGGACCACUCCACAUUCUCUAACCCAGGAAAUGGCUACAUUUUCAGACGAAAAGAAAUAUUCUGAAAUAACUCAAGAAAAAAGAACUACUUCAAUUCCUACUUCAUUUGUACCUGUGGCAACGCCUUUAGUUUUGCCAUCUAAUAGACAAUCAGCUAGGCCUUUACCAAACAGCAGUAUACAGAUAAAAGAAAUCGACCCAGUGCAGUGUUCUGAUAAGUUAGGGGAAUUGAAAGAUGUUAAAGAUGAAAAGAUAAAAUAUUUUAAUUGUAAUAAGGAAGAGUUGCCUUUAUUUUCAAAUGACCUUCAAGCUGCCUAUAUACCUCACAACUCUGAUUCAAAAGAUAAAAAACAGGAAAUAGCUGAAACACCAACGUCAUUGUCUAAUAUGAUAUCUAAUUGUGACUUAGUUGCCCAACACAAAAAAAAGAAAUAUGACAUUCAUGAGAGAAAUGGGGUGAAGUUUCUUAAAAGUAUUUUAAAAAAAGAAUCUAAGUACGAACAUGAUUGUUUUAAGACACUAGUUAUAAACCAAGGCUUUGAGUUAGGAAGUCAAAAAGCAGCAGCUAUCAGAGAUAGUAUUGAAUUAACAAAAGAAAAAGGAAAAGGUGCAGAAAUUCCAAAGACUAUUAAAAAACUGAGAUGGUUUGAUGAAACUGGAGAUGCAGAAAAAAAUGCUGAAGAUAAUCAUUCACUGAAGAAUAGAACAGGAAUAUCUCAACAGUGGUCUCAACCAUUCCACGCUCAAAAUGAAAGCGGUACUGCCAACAACAUAAUUAGUGUUCCUGCCUGUGCUGUAAAUUCUGCUGAUAGAAAAAAGCCCAAAGAUGAUUCUAGCUCUGAAAAUGUCGCUGCUUUAGGAGGACCUGGAAGAGACUAUGUGCCUUUGAACUGUUUUAUACCUUCAGAUUAUAACAUUGCUGAACAAGCCUGGCCAGCCUCAAAACAAGAGGAAAGUAAAUCCCCUGUAUAUAGUGGUGAUUCUAAAACUCAGAAAGCUAAUCCACAAAGAGGUGGAGCAAAAGUAGUUAGAAGAACAAGAUCUGCUAAAGUCCAAUCAGCCUUUAUAUACACGAACAGAAAAGGCACUGUUAUUCCACCACAGUCUGCAAGCAAAGCCAACACAUUUUUACAAGCUCAGGGUAGAUUAAUUGUACCUCAUCCCCCUCCUAAAUCUCCAUCAAAUAUUAGGAGUCAUAAAAAUAUACAAGCAUCUCAAUGUCAAUCAGUAAGGUCUGAAAAUUCUCAAAACAUUAUUACACAUAACUAUUUAAAUUCAAAGCCUGUGCUUCCAACAGAAGACAAAGUGAAUCAGUGGAAUCAAGAAAGUAGUCUUCCACUCUCACGUGUUUGUUCUGACUUAGACACUGUGAUGCCAUCUCUACCUUAUUGUUCUUCUGAGUGCCAAACUUUAGCAAAAGUAAAUCAUUCAAAUGGCACUCACAUGGUUGCUCAGCAAGAUGGGACGUUACAUUAUACCCAAAGAUGUCCUGUUUAUGAAGAAAGUCAUCAUUCUGUGACUCUUAGAACUACUAAAGAAGAAUCUGUUCCCUUGUGGAAAAGACAGUGUAAUAUUCUGGGUCAAAAUGAAAAGGCUGCUGAUUCUACUGUUAUAAGAAGAAAACGAACUGUUGAAAAUAAGCAGAGAAAUCUUUUAGAGCAGAAAAGAGAAAACUCUGGAUCUGUAGGACAGAAGUACAGUGAACAAAUGAAUAAUUUUGGACAAAGUGUCCAGCUAAGUUCAAGUGAGCCAAAAAAAACCACAAGGGGUACUUCUAAUAUUGAAGAAGUUUCAGACAGUACUUCUGAGUUUUUGAUGGCUGAAAACCUGGUGAAAGCUUCAGUGCCUGAGGAUGAAAUUCUAACUGUCAUGAAUAGCAAGCAGCUGCAGAAACCAAAUCUGGCUUUAAAUAAGACCCAGCGAUUCAACAUCUGUGCACUAUCAGCUGAAGAACAGAAGAUCCUACAAUCCCUAAAUCGUCUCAAUGAAAGGUUACACUUACUAUGUACAAGAAACUAUUUGCAAAAAUCCACGCAUCAAAAAUACCUUACAAAUAAUAUCACUUCCGGAUCCAACCCAGGAUUACACAUUGAAUAUUGUUGUCAAGUCUUUUAAUCUAGAAAAGUCUCCACUCUUUUUCAAUCUUUCAUGCACAUUGAUAGUUUUGAAGAUUCCAGGCCAGUUUUCUUGCUGAAUAUCCCAUGAUCUGGAUUUGUCCAAUUGUUUUCUCAUUGGAUUCAGGUUAACAUUUAUGAACAGCCAGCCAAGGGCCAGUCUCUCUCGUGAUGUCGGACCCAGACUGCAGAGGCGACACUGACUAAGCACAACAGCAACUGUGAAAUGGAAUCAUUAUCUUCGAGAAUCUUGUGUAAAUAUAUAAUACAGUUCUGCAUUUGUUAAUGACUUAAAACACUGUCACCACAAAAUAAAGGUAAAUCAUAAUAUGGGUAAUGGAGAUAAAUUGACUAGUUUACGUUUAUGCUACAAAUUCUACUUCAUUAUGUAUUUUAUUGUUAAAUACAUUUUUAAUGAAUGGAAAUACUUUAUUGUUUUUAAUGAGCAUGCUACUGGAAAUAAAUUCAUUAUAUUUAAAAAUACAACAGAGGAUAUUUUGUUAUUCAAAUUAUGUAUUAACUAUAGUUGUGAAGCUUUGUUUUUAUGUAAUUCCUAAUAAAUUCUAUUAAAUUUUUGUACAAUGAUGUAAAAAGUUUAUGACUAAUAAUAUCCCAUAUAUAUAGUAAAGCUGUUUAUUUAGGGCUUUGAAGGACCUCUGUACUUUGGAGAUGUUACCAAAAGGUCUUGUUCUCAAUUUUGCAUGUUCAGAAAUUAAAGUUAUCACUUUAUCCACGGGUAAUUGGUCUCUAAAGAACUGACUAUACUAGCAAAGCUCAUGAGGUAAAUGGUAAAUAUAAGAAAUAAACUGCAAUCCCAACUGGA
Molecule: non-coding RNA, 4487 nt
Organism: Equus caballus (horse)
Lineage: Eukaryota; Metazoa; Chordata; Mammalia; Perissodactyla; Equidae
Source: RefSeq, a predicted model, not a curated record